This 159-nucleotide ribosomal RNA is filed under the name Heliocephala zimbabweensis. RNAcentral's name for it is "5.8S ribosomal RNA". It matches the Rfam family "5.8S ribosomal RNA". Rfam says of the family: 5.8S ribosomal RNA (5.8S rRNA) is a component of the large subunit of the eukaryotic ribosome. Lineage: Eukaryota; Fungi; Ascomycota; Dothideomycetes; Myriangiales. The record is from RNAcentral.
AAACUUUCAACAACGGAUCUCUUGGUUCUGGCAUCGAUGAAGAACGCAGCGAAAUGCGAUAAGUAAUGUGAAUUGCAGAAUUUAGUGAAUCAUCGAAUCUUUGAACGCACAUUGCGCCCCCUGGUAUUCCGGGGGGCACACCUGUCCGAGCGCCGUUUU